UACGAAGGGGCUAGCGUUGCUCGGAAUCACUGGGCGUAAAGGGUGCGUAGGCGGGUCUUUAAGUCAGGGGUGAAAUCCCAGAGCUCAACUCUGGAACUGCCUUUGAUACUGGCAAGCUAGAGUCCGGAAGAGGUAAGUGGAACUCCUAGGUGUAGAGGUGGAAUUCGUAGAUAUUAGGAAGAACACCAGUGGCGAAGGCGGCUUACUGGUCCGGAACUGACGCUGAGGUGCGAAAGCGUGGGGAGCAAACAGG
Molecule: ribosomal RNA, 253 nt
Filed under: uncultured bacterium
Lineage: Bacteria
Description: partial 16S ribosomal RNA
Rfam family: Bacterial small subunit ribosomal RNA
Source: RNAcentral